RNAcentral lists this ribosomal RNA (435 nucleotides) under uncultured bacterium. RNAcentral's name for it is "partial 16S ribosomal RNA". It matches the Rfam family "Bacterial small subunit ribosomal RNA", at positions 29 to 507 of the family's 1533-position model. The record is from RNAcentral.
AACGAACGCUGGCGGCAUGCCUAACACAUGCAAGUCGAACGGGUACCUUCGGGUGCUAGUGGCGCACGGGUGCGUAACGCGUGGGGAUCUGCCCUUGGGUACGGAAUAACUCAGCGAAAGCUGUGCUCAUACCGGAUGAUGUCGAAAGACCAAAGAUUUAUCGCCCGAGGUUGCGCUCGCGUUGGAUUAGCUAGCUGGUGGGGUAAAGGCCUACCAAGGCGACGAUCCAUAGCUGGGCUGUGAGGAUGAUCCGAGACACUGGGACUGAGACACGGCCGAGACUCCUACGGGAAGGAGCAGUGGGGAAUAUUGGACAGUGGGCGAAAGCCUGAUCCAGCAAUGCCGCUUGAGUGAUGAAGGCCUUAGGGUUGUAAAGCGCUUGUACCCGGGAUGAUAAUGACAGUACCGGGAGAAUAAGCUCCGGCUAACUCCGUG